Molecule: non-coding RNA, 31 nt
Filed under: Homo sapiens (human)
Lineage: Eukaryota; Metazoa; Chordata; Mammalia; Primates; Hominidae
Source: RNAcentral
CUGGGAAGAAUUGAGACCAGAAACUUUGGCC